GAAACAGCUAUGACCAUCCUAAGGUAGCGAAAUUCCUUGUCGGGUAAGUUCCGACCUGCACGAAUGGCGUAACGACUUCUCGACUGUCUCAACCAUAGGCCCGGUGAAAUUGCACUACGAGUAAAGAUGCUCGUUUCGCGCAGCAGGACGGAAAGACCCCGGGACCUUUACUACAGUUUGAUAUUGGUGUUCGGUUCGGCUUGUGUAGGAUAGCUGGGAGACUGUGAAGCUCGGACGCCAGUUCGGGUGGAGUCGUCGUUGAAAUACCAGUCUGGUCGUGCUGGAUGUCUAACCUGGGUCCGUGAUCCGGAUCAGGGACAGUGUCUGAUGGGUAGUUUAACUGGGGCGGUUGCCUCCUAAAGGGUAACGGAGGCGCCCAAAGGUUCCCUCAGCCUGGUUGGCAAUCAGGUGUUGAGUGUAAGUGCACAAGGGAGCUUGACUGUGAGACCGACGGGUCGAGCAGGGACGAAAGUCGGGACUAGUGAUCCGGCAGUGGCUUGUGGAAGCGCCGUCGCUCAACGGAUAAAAGGUACCCCGGGGAUAACAGGCUGAUCUUCCCCAAGAGUCCAUAUCGACGGGAUGGUUUGGCACCUCGAUGUCGGCUCGUCGCAUCCUGGGGCUGGAGUCGGUCCCAAGGGUUGGGCUGUUCGCCCAUUAAAGCGGUACGCGAGCUGGGUUUAGAACGUCGUGAGACAGUUCGGUCCCUAUCCGCUGUGCGCGUAGGAGUCUUGAGAAGGGCUGUCCCUAGUACGAGAGGACCGGGACGGACGAACCUCUGGUGUGCCAGUUGUCCUGCCAAGGGCAUGGCUGGUUGGCUACGUUCGGGAGGGAUAACCGCUGAAAGCAUCUAAGCGGGAAGCCUGCUUCGAGAUGAGGACUCCCACCCACUUGAUGGGGUAAGGCUCCCAGUAGACGACUGGGUUGAUAGGCCGGAUCUGGAAGCACGGUAACGUGUGGAGGUGACCGGUACUAAUAGGCCGAGGGCUUGUCCUC
RNAcentral lists this ribosomal RNA (993 nucleotides) under Streptomyces galbus. RNAcentral describes it as "bacterial LSU rRNA". It matches the Rfam family "Bacterial large subunit ribosomal RNA", at positions 1936 to 2925 of the family's 2925-position model. The record is from RNAcentral. Lineage: Bacteria; Bacillati; Actinomycetota; Actinomycetes; Kitasatosporales; Streptomycetaceae.